Molecule: ribosomal RNA, 135 nt
Filed under: uncultured soil bacterium
Lineage: Bacteria
Description: partial 16S ribosomal RNA
Rfam family: Bacterial small subunit ribosomal RNA
Source: RNAcentral
CAGGAUGAACGCUAGCGGCAGGCCUAAUACAUGCAAGUCGAACGAUACCUUCCAGCUUGCUAGAGGGGAAAGUGGCGCACGGGUGCGUAACGCGUAUGCAACCUACCUUAAUCAGGGGGAUAGCCUCUCGAAAGA